CAUGAGUACAGUUCUAGCCCAAUUUCUUCCCCCAUUAGUUUCUUCACUCCACCUUGUGUGAAGAGUAGUCAUUUAAGUGCCCAAAGCCCUGAAUCUAUAUUGAGAACUGCUGCAAAAAGCUACCCCAACACUCCAUCCAUAUUUCGAAAGCGAAAAACUGGAAGUCAAGUGCACCUGCUUCCUGCUAAAGUUGGGAAAGUAGGUCAAGAAUGUGUUGAAGAUAGGCUGCAGAGAAGAACUGAGAAUACGUCUGAAAAGGCUGGGUCUCAAGAUAAAAAUUUGUUUGACAGUCCUCAUCCAGAUAAUAGCACGUCCUUGCCUAAUGGUAAAGCUUUUAAUGCAUCUCCUCCAUACAGGUUGAAAUCCAAACGAACUGCUGUUUUCAAGUCUGUAGAGAGGCAACUUGAGUUCACUUUGGACAAGGAGAGAUGUGACAGCACUAAAUCUGUGAAUGGAAGUGCGCUUGUUUCUGAAGGUUGUCCUCAUGCAACAAAGAUGGGAGUGAC
Molecule: unclassified non-coding RNA, 506 nt
Filed under: Hevea brasiliensis (rubber tree)
Lineage: Eukaryota; Viridiplantae; Streptophyta; Magnoliopsida; Malpighiales; Euphorbiaceae
Source: RNAcentral